UUAGUGGCGGACGGGUGAGUAACGCGUGGAUAACCUGCCGUAUACUGGGGGAUAACACUUAGAAAUAGGUGCUAAUACCGCAUAAGCGCAUACAGCCGCAUGGCAGUAUGCGGAAAGCUCCGGCGGCACGGGAUGGGCCCGCGCCCGAUUAGCCAGUUGGCGGGGUAACGGCCCACCAAAGCGACGAUCGGUAGCCGGCCUGAGAGGGCGGACGGCCACAUUGGGACUGAGACACGGCCCAAACUCCUACGGGAGGCAGCAG
RNAcentral lists this ribosomal RNA (262 nucleotides) under uncultured bacterium. RNAcentral's name for it is "partial 16S ribosomal RNA". It matches the Rfam family "Bacterial small subunit ribosomal RNA", at positions 92 to 354 of the family's 1533-position model. The record is from RNAcentral.